Long non-coding RNA from Oncorhynchus tshawytscha (Chinook salmon), 1374 nucleotides. Lineage: Eukaryota; Metazoa; Chordata; Actinopteri; Salmoniformes; Salmonidae. The record is from Ensembl.
GGAAGGGGAGGGAAGAAGGGAAGAAAAGGAUGGAGGGAAGAAGGGAGGAGAAAAGGAGGGAGGGAAGAAGGGAAGGGGAGGGAAGAAGGGAGGAGAAAAGGAGGGAGGGAAGGGGAGGGAAGAAGGGAGAAGUGGAAGGAGGGAAAGAUAAAAGGAGGAAUGGAAGGAGAGGGAACGAGGGAGGGAUAAAAUACAGGAAAUGGAAAGAUGUAUUGAGGGAAGUCAGGGAAGGACAGGAAGAAGGAAGGACAGUGUUUAAAAGGAGGGGUGAGACUUUGUCCCUCUACUCUUCCGGCAGGGUUCCGCUGAUGUCCUCUGGAGGCGGGGUGGACGAGAACAGAGGCUCCUCCUCUUCUGGAACGUUGUUUGUGUUCUCAGAAUUCCCACCAUUCCCUUCAUUAUCCCCAGCUCUGCUCCUCCGGCUCCCGGUCCUACUGAGGCUGACAUUCCCAAUGCUCCCCACGCGACGAGGACUGCUGCUGAAAGAUGACUCCCCUCCUCCUCGCCUGGGAAGGACGGGAAUGUCGGGGAAAUAAUGGAAUUAGAGGCAGAGGGAAGAGGCAGGAUAGAAGGCCGUAUUGGAGGAAGAGAAGAAAAAGUUAGAAUUUGGAGAGGGAAGAAGAAGAGAUGCCAGAAUCAGACAGAGAGGAAAUGAGUUCAGUUAGAGGUAUAGUUGGUUUCCAGAGCCAUGUAAGAAACAUAUGUGUCUGGAUGGUUAGACCUUAAACACUGUUGGAAGGUCUGGAAGAAAAGGCUGCUAUAGAAGAGGAGGGGUUAGAGGUGAAGACAGAGGAUGAAUGAGAGACCAAGGGUUAGCUAAAGGCUGAGGAGUUUAAGUUGAGGAAGAGAUUGAGGAAGAGUUUGAGGAAGAAUUUAAGGUAGAUUUUGAGGAAGGCUUUAAGGAAGAAUUUGAGGAAGUGUUUGAGGAAGAGUUUUUGAAGGAAGAUUUUGAGGAAGGGUUUGACGAAGAGUUUGAGAAAGUGUCAUCAGAAAAACUUAGUUGAAUUAGCUGCAGAGUUGCUGUAGAUUCCCAAGUCAAGUAAUGAUGUGAGUAUUAAGUUGAUUGCCGAAGUAAAGAUGACUCAGCGAGAGGCAGACAGAGAAGCGUUUGAGGGCAAGUUAAUAUCUAAAGGACCGGUUUGAAGAGGUGUCAGAGUCAGAGACAGAAGAGGAAGAGAGAGAACAUCAACAUCAUAAACGGUCUUGUUUUGGCUGGUCUUCAGCCAGGUGUAGUUAUACUGUCUGCUAUAUACAGGUCAGGUGUAGUUAUACUGUCUACUAUAUACAGGCCAGGUGUAGUUAUACUGUCUACUAUAUACAGGUCAGGUGUAGUGUUAUAUUGUCUACUAUAUACAGGUCAGGUGUAGUGUUAUA